AGGACGAACGCUGGCGGCGUGCUUAACACAUGCAAGUCGAGCGGAAAGGCCCUUCGGGGUACUCGAGCGGCGAACGGGUGAGUAACACGUGAGUAACCUGCCCCUAGCUCUGGGAUAGCUCCGGGAAACCGGGAUUAAUACCAGAUACGACCACUUUAGACAUCUGUCGUGGUGGAAAGGAUUCCGGCUAGGGAUGGGCUCGCGGCCUAUCAGCUUGUUGGUGGGGUAACGGCCUACCAAGGCGACGACGGGUAGCCGGCCUGAGAGGGCGACCGGCCACACUGGGACUGAGACACGGCCCAGACUCCUACGGGAGGCAGCAGUGGGGAAUAUUGCGCAAUGGGCGAAAGCCUGACGCAGCGACGCCGCGUGGGGAUGAAGGCCUUCGGGUUGUAAACCCCUUUCAGCAGGGACGAAGCGAAAGUGACGGUACCUGCAGAAGAAGCGCCGGCUAACUACGUGCCAGCAGCCGC
RNAcentral lists this ribosomal RNA (473 nucleotides) under uncultured bacterium. Its description in RNAcentral is "SSU rRNA". It matches the Rfam family "Bacterial small subunit ribosomal RNA", at positions 26 to 518 of the family's 1533-position model. The record is from RNAcentral.